RNAcentral lists this ribosomal RNA (463 nucleotides) under uncultured bacterium. RNAcentral's name for it is "partial 16S ribosomal RNA". It matches the Rfam family "Bacterial small subunit ribosomal RNA", at positions 28 to 507 of the family's 1533-position model. The record is from RNAcentral.
GAUGAACGCUGACAGAAUGCUUAACACAUGCAAGUCGAUGGGGAAGUGGUGCUUGCACCAUGGCAACCAUGGCGGACGGGUGAGUAACGCGUAAGGGACUUACCUGCAGGACUGGGAUAACAGGGGGAAACUCCUGACAAGACCGGAUAAUGUCAUGGAGCUGCAUGGCUUUAUGAUGAAAGGAGACGCCUGCGGAGAGCCUUGCGUCCUAUUAGCUAGUUGGUGAGGUAAUGGCUCACCAAGGCGAAGAUAGGUAGCCGGCCUGAGAGGGUGGACGGCCACAAGGGGACUGAGAUACCGCCCUUACUCCUACGGGAGGCAGCAGUGGGGAAUAUUGGACAAUGGGGGCAACCCUGAUCCAGCAAUUCUGUGUGCACGAAGAAGGUUUUCGGAUUGUAAAGUGCUUUCAGCAGGGAAGAAGUAAGUGACGGUACCUGCAGAAGAAGCGACGGCUAAAUACGUG